ACGGAAGGCAGCAGUAGGGAAUUUUCGUCAAUGGGGGGAACCCUGAACGAGCAAUGCCGCGUGAGCGAAGAAGGUCUUCGGAUCGUAAAGCUCUGUUGUAAGAGAAAAAUGCUGCAUAUAGGAAAAGAUAUGCAGGUGAUGGUAUCUUACCAGAAAGUCAUGGCUAACUACGUGCCAGCAGACGCGGUAAUACGUAGGUGGCGAGCGUUAUCCGGAAUGAUUGGGCGUAAAGGGUGCGUAGGUGGCACGAUAAGUCUGAAGUCAAAGCUGGCAGCUCCACUGUCAUACGCUUUGGAAACUGUCGAGCUAGAGUGCAGGAGAGGGCGAUGGAACUCCAUGUGUAGCGGUAAAAUGCGUAGAUAUAUGGGAGAACACCGGUGGCGAAGGCGGUCGCCUGGCCUGUAACUGACACUGAGGCACGAAAGCGUGGGGAGCAAAUAGGAUUAGAUACCCUGGUA
RNAcentral lists this ribosomal RNA (458 nucleotides) under uncultured Erysipelotrichaceae bacterium. RNAcentral's name for it is "partial 16S ribosomal RNA". It matches the Rfam family "Bacterial small subunit ribosomal RNA", at positions 341 to 792 of the family's 1533-position model. The record is from RNAcentral. Lineage: Bacteria; Bacillati; Bacillota; Erysipelotrichia; Erysipelotrichales; Erysipelotrichaceae.